RNAcentral lists this ribosomal RNA (1578 nucleotides) under Vibrio parahaemolyticus. Its description in RNAcentral is "bacterial LSU rRNA". It matches the Rfam family "Bacterial large subunit ribosomal RNA", at positions 324 to 1898 of the family's 2925-position model. Lineage: Bacteria; Pseudomonadati; Pseudomonadota; Gammaproteobacteria; Vibrionales; Vibrionaceae. The record is from RNAcentral.
ACGCGUUAGACGAACGGUCUGGAAAGUCCGACGAUACAGGGUGAUAGUCCCGUAGUUGACGACGUGUGUUCAGUGAAAUCGAGUAGGGCGGGACACGUGAUAUCCUGUCUGAAUAUGGGGGGACCAUCCUCCAAGGCUAAAUACUACUGACUGACCGAUAGUGAACCAGUACCGUGAGGGAAAGGCGAAAAGAACCCCUGUGAGGGGAGUGAAAUAGAACCUGAAACCGUGUACGUACAAGCAGUAGGAGCAGGCUUGUCCUGUGACUGCGUACCUUUUGUAUAAUGGGUCAGCGACUUAUAUUCAGUGGCAAGGUUAACCAUCUAGGGGAGCCGUAGGGAAACCGAGUCUUAACUGGGCGUUCAGUCUCUGGAUAUAGACCCGAAACCAGGUGAUCUAGCCAUGGGCAGGUUGAAGGUUGAGUAACAUCAACUGGAGGACCGAACCGACUAAUGUUGAAAAAUUAGCGGAUGACUUGUGGCUAGGGGUGAAAGGCCAAUCAAACCUGGAGAUAGCUGGUUCUCCCCGAAAGCUAUUUAGGUAGCGCCUCGGACGAAUACUACUGGGGGUAGAGCACUGUUAAGGCUAGGGGGUCAUCCCGACUUACCAACCCUUUGCAAACUCCGAAUACCAGUAAGUACUAUCCGGGAGACACACGGCGGGUGCUAACGUCCGUCGUGGAGAGGGAAACAACCCAGACCGCCAGCUAAGGUCCCAAAUUACUACUAAGUGGGAAACGAUGUGGGAAGGCUCAGACAGCCAGGAUGUUGGCUUAGAAGCAGCCAUCAUUUAAAGAAAGCGUAAUAGCUCACUGGUCGAGUCGGCCUGCGCGGAAGAUGUAACGGGGCUAAGUAGUAAACCGAAGCUGCGGCAAUGUGCUUUUGCACAUUGGGUAGGGGAGCGUUCUGUAAGCGGUUGAAGGUGUGUGGUAACGCAUGCUGGACGUAUCAGAAGUGCGAAUGCUGACAUGAGUAACGAUAAAGGGGGUGAAAAACCUCCUCGCCGGAAGACCAAGGGUUCCUGUCCAACGUUAAUCGGGGCAGGGUAAGUCGACCCCUAAGGCGAGGCCGAAAGGCGUAGUCGAUGGGAAACGGGUUAAUAUUCCCGUACUUCUUACAAUUGCGAUGGGGGGACGGAGAAGGCUAGGUGGGCCUGGCGACGGUUGUCCAGGUUCAAGUGCGUAGGCUUAAGAGUUAGGUAAAUCCGGCUCUUUUUAAGGCUGAGACACGACGUCGAGCUACUACGGUAGUGAAGUCAUUGAUGCCAUGCUUCCAGGAAAAGCCUCUAAGCUUCAGAUUGUAAGGAAUCGUACCCCAAACCGACACAGGUGGUCGGGUAGAGAAUACCAAGGCGCUUGAGAGAACUCGGGUGAAGGAACUAGGCAAAAUGGUACCGUAACUUCGGGAGAAGGUACGCUCUCGACGGUGAAGUCCCUCGCGGAUGGAGCUAUUGAGAGUCGCAGAUACCAGGUGGCUGCAACUGUUUAUUAAAAACACAGCACUGUGCAAAAUCGUAAGAUGACGUAUACGGUGUGACGCCUGCCCGGUGCCGGAAGGUUAAUUGAUGGGGUUAGACUUC